Small nuclear RNA from Suncus etruscus (white-toothed pygmy shrew), 110 nucleotides. The record is from RefSeq and is a predicted model, not a curated record. NCBI's taxonomy places the organism in Eukaryota, Metazoa, Chordata, Mammalia, Eulipotyphla, Soricidae.
GUGCUCCCUUUGGCAGCACAUAUACUAAAAUUGGAACAAUACAGAGAAGAUUAGCAUGGCCCCCCUGCCUAAAGAUGACAACCAAAUUCGUGCAAGCGUUCCAUAUUUAA